UCAAUAUAGAUUGAUUAAAAUUUAUUUAUUAAUUUUGUUUAUUUAUACAUAUAUAAUAUUAAAAAUAAUUAUAUAUUUAAUUAGUUUAAGUAUUUUUUAAAAAAUAAAUAAUUUUAAUUAUAGUUUAUUAGUAUUGUAAAAGAAUAUUGAAAUAAUUUGAAAAAUAUUUAAUUUAAAAGAAAAUUUUAUUUAUUGUACCUUUUGUAUCAGGGUUUAUUAAAUUAAUAUAUAAUUAUAUUUAUAUUUCUCGAUUUAAAAAGAGUUAAUUAAUUAUUAAAAUUACUGUAAUAAAAUUAUUUUAAAUAAUUAAUUAGAAAUGAAAUGUUAUUCGUUUUUUAAGGUAUCUAGUUUUUUAAGAAAUGAAUUUAAUUCAUAAAUUUUAAAUUAUGUUUUUAUUUAUAAUAAUUAUAUAAUUUUUUAAUUUUAAAGUUUUAUGGGAUUAGCUAUAAAACUUUUUUAUAAAUAAUUUUAAUAUUUAAAAUAAAUGUAAGCUUAGAAUUAGCUAUCAUUAAUAAAUUUGUUAUAAUUUAUUUUAAUUUUUAUAUUAUUUAUUAAAUUUUAAUUUUAUAUUAAAAAAUUAAUUUUAAUAAAGUAAAUUAAUUUAUAAUGAUAAAAUUAGUAUAUAUUAUUGUUUAAAUAAAUUUAUUUGAUAAGUUUUUAUAAAGAAUUCGGCAAAAUUAAUAUUCGCCUGUUUAACAAAAACAUGUCUUUUUGUUUGUAUAAAAAGUCUAGCCUGCCCACUGAUAAUUUAAAUGGCCGCAGUAUUUUAACUGUGCAAAGGUAGCAUAAUCAUUAGUCUUUUAAUUGAAGGCUGGAAUGAAUGGUUGGACGAAAUAUUAACUGUUUCAUAAGAAUUUAUAUUAGAAUUUUAUUUUUUAGUCAAAAAGCUAAAAUUUUUUUAAAAGACGAGAAGACCCUAUAAAUCUUUAUAUUAUUAGUAUUUUUAUUAUUAAGAUUAAUUUUAUAAUUAUAUUAUAUAGUAUUUUAUUGGGGUGAUAUUAAAAUUUAAUAAACUUUUAAUUGUUUUUUACAUUAAUUUAUGAAUAUUUGAUCCAUUAAUAAUGAUUAUAAAAUUAAGUUACUUUAGGGAUAACAGCGUAAUUUUUUUGGAGAGUUCAUAUCGAUAAAAAAGAUUGCGACCUCGAUGUUGGAUUAAGAUAUAAUUUUAGGUGUAGAAGUUUAAAAUUUAAGUCUGUUCGACUUU
RNAcentral lists this ribosomal RNA (1204 nucleotides) under Melanagromyza minimoides. Its description in RNAcentral is "partial 16S ribosomal RNA". Lineage: Eukaryota; Metazoa; Arthropoda; Insecta; Diptera; Agromyzidae. The record is from RNAcentral.